This is a long non-coding RNA of Dermochelys coriacea (leatherback sea turtle), 983 nucleotides long. RefSeq lists it as uncharacterized. NCBI's taxonomy places the organism in Eukaryota, Metazoa, Chordata, Testudines, Dermochelyidae. The record is from RefSeq and is a predicted model, not a curated record. The transcript is spliced from 3 exons.
GCAGCAGGGCUGCAGACAGCAUACUGUGGGCAAGACUGAGCCCAGGAAGGGUUGUUGAAGACUGGGGCAGCAAAGAAGGAGCUCCUGGCUGGCUUCAGGGACCGAACAAGGACUGAGCCCAGAACCUAGCCAGACCAACUUAGGGCACCACAAUGGGCCCUGCUGGGCUGUUUUAUAGAGGGCAGUGUCUCCAAGGAGGAAGCCUGGGCAGAAGGUAAAGACUGUAUACCCUGGAAGGGGAUUGCUCUGUUCCACCUAGAGACAGUGUGUGUGACUAUGCUGGAGGGCUAAGCCACUGAAGACCUGCUCAAGAAAUCAUUGGCUGGAGGGUCUCAUGAGAGACUCCCAGCAGCCAGUGCUCCCAAUUCUAAUCAUUACAAGCAACAUCUGAACACCACACCCGGCUCUACUGGGAAUAACACCAGGAAGGCAGGAAACUGUACAGCCUGGAGACACUCUAGUCAGAACGGAGUGAGAUGCAUGUCUCCAGCCAAGAAAGGCAAUGUCGAGAGUUGGAAGCCUGAGAAUGGAUGUCCUUGCUGGACCACUGAGAGGAAAAAACUGGUGCAGUUGCUCUGACAUGAGACAGCACUCAGGAUACCACACAAUGGGAGAACAGCUUGUCUGCACCUUGCAGGCCUUGAUUUGUGUGAUUAGUUAAUGGGACUCCACAUCUGACAAAAGCAUUGCAGCAUCAGGACCUUCGUUUGCAUUAUAGGGAACAAGACCUGUUCGUUUUAAAGCUUAGAAAAUCCUCAAUCUCUUAAUUUGAAAUUUUAAAAUCAUCCGGUUUCUGGUUUAAAAUGUGCAAACUGAUUUUUCAAUCUCUCUGGCAUCUUCAUGCUAGAUUACUACUGUUUUUCUUAAGGUGGGUGAUUUGGAAAAUGGCAUAAUUGUGUUAACACAACAUUUUUAGUAAGAGCCCACAUUUUAAAGGCAAAUCUAGUUGCUUAACAUGCUAAAAUAUACUUUCUUUUCUUCUA